AAGUCGUAACAAGGUUUCCGUAGGUGAACCUGCGGAAGGAUCAUUACAGAGUUCAUGCCCUUCGGGGUAGACCUCCCACCCUUGUGUAUUUAUACCUUUGUUGCUUUGGCAGGCCGCUAGGCUCUGUCCUGGCUACCGGCCCCGGCUGGUACGUGCCUGCCAGAGGACCCCAAACUCUGAAUGUUAGUGUCGUCUGAGUACUAUAUAAUAGUUAAAA
RNAcentral lists this unclassified non-coding RNA (217 nucleotides) under plant metagenome. RNAcentral describes it as "partial contains small subunit ribosomal RNA and internal transcribed spacer 1". The stretch from base 1 to 46 matches the Rfam family "Eukaryotic small subunit ribosomal RNA", at positions 1786 to 1831 of the family's 1831-position model. The record is from RNAcentral.